Molecule: long non-coding RNA, 500 nt
Organism: Malaya genurostris
Lineage: Eukaryota; Metazoa; Arthropoda; Insecta; Diptera; Culicidae
Exons: 2
Source: RefSeq, a predicted model, not a curated record
GCGAGCAAAAAAAAGGCUUUUCACCGCGAGAACUUCCGAGCAAAAUGCCAAUCUACGGAAAUGACAUUACUACUAUCUGGCAUCGCUGGCAAUAUGAGCUGUCAAAAUGUUACGUGAUUGUGUCGAAGCGAAGCAUAUCGGAGCGUUUCGUUUUUGUAUCGAAUAUUAAUUCUGCUAGUGACUUGCUUCUAAUCUACUGCGUAGAAAUGGCCUAUUGAUAAGCUGCACAAGUAAUCGUUUCGGAGCUGUUUAUGUCUAUCGACCUAUUGAAGAUCUUGGCAUUGAACAUGUUAGGAUUUUUUUUGGAUUAGAAAUUAAUGUCGAAAAUGUAGUCUAAGCACUCUACACUGGACUUGACACAGUUAUUGACCUAGAUUGUGUUGGAAAGGAAGUGAUUCAUUGUAUUUGUAAAAUAUGACAUUUGUUGAAUAAAAAAAUGUUGAUUGUUUUUGUGAAUCAGUUAAGAAGCAUUAUCGCUUACCUCAACUUCUAGUAUGAAA